RNAcentral lists this long non-coding RNA (2619 nucleotides) under Sus scrofa (pig). Its description in RNAcentral is "lncRNA (ENSSSCG00015033298.1)". Lineage: Eukaryota; Metazoa; Chordata; Mammalia; Artiodactyla; Suidae. The record is from RNAcentral.
UUUUUUUUUUUUUUUUUUAAUGGAGAUUUUUAAGAACCAACCUUGUAAUAUGCAUUGCCUCGAACAUAAGAAUGUUGUUUAGGAAUUUGUUCCUGAUGGUGCGGCAUCCUUUUUUGUAAAAACCCUCAGGAGAAAUAUCUCUAUAGUCUAAGAAAUAAACCUAUUGCUUGCUGAGAAAAACAUGUUUGCUAAGCCCUUAUAGCCUUAGAAUUUAUAUAAAUGGAUGCUGGGAAGCUCGUACUAGGAGUCUGUUUUUGCAUUAGUUUCCUUUCGGAUUUUAAUUUAUGUCCUGACCCAUAGUUUAACUUUUUUCUUUCUCAUUUGCUUCUAAUUUACGUUAUCUUGAUGUAUGGUGUGGAUCCUUGAAGUCAUCUUAAAUCAUUUCUGGAGGAAUGCAGACAUAAAAUAAAAUAUCCUCAACACUGAUAACCCAGAACGCACAAACUGUGGAGUGAUUUAUGGUAAUACACUUGAAAAAAUUAGAAUGAUUAAAUUCACACAAACUAUUAAUUAGUUUUUAAUAUGAGAUGAGCUAUCUGAGGUAACAGGUCCAGUGAAUCAGCCAGGUUUCAAAACUGUUGUAUGUUUCUACAUCAGGAAGCCAUCAGAGGCAACACCUAGGACAGAAGUAAGUCAUUACAGAAUAAACUCAUGGAGAACAUCCAGGACCUAGUGACAAUCCAUCAUAGUUUGUCUCCCACUGAUCUGGAAUUUUAACAUCAGUCUGGGACUCUCUUAUAAAGCAUAAUGGCAUUCAGUAAUAAAAGCAAGGUAAUGUAAAAUUAUUUUCAUCAAUAUGGUCUGGCUACGGAGCUAUCUUUGCUAAUAGAAUUGAGUGGACUUGGGAAGCCCUGUUAACUGCUGAUCUGACCACCCAUUUCUUUUUCUUUCCAAUGCCUAAAGAAAGGAUCAAGGUGACCUUUCUGAAGGAUCUCUAUAUCCAUGGCAGAACAAAUGCUGUCUAUAUUUCCUGUCAAUUUUUUGACAUCCCUCCCUGCUUUUUCAAUUUUCCUCUGUAAAUUUUUCUCCUCUUUGCUGUCUACCACCAUCUUUGAAUUAUUUAGAUUCAUAGAUCCAGGAGAAGGAACUGUUCCUGGCUUCUAGCUUUAUUGCCACCUACCCAUGGCCAACUGCACAGUAAGCUGAGGACUCCUCACAGCUAAUCCUAUAUUUUGCCUCUGAUUAAAGAAAAAAAUCCUGUCACCCAUUCAGUGUAGCUAUGUCCAAAUUUGAGACCCUCAUUCCCCAUGAUAAACACUUCCCUUUCUUUUCCUAGUUUUGAUUGGAGAUAACGGUGGGGCAUGGGGAGGGACAGUCUAGCUAAUAUGUUCCUGUGUCGUCUUCAGUUGAAGCAACUCAGAUUAUGAGUGUGAUUUCAUGAGAGGAAAAGAGAAAGUGGCCUCCUGGGAUAGAUUUUUGAAAACCACUAAGCUAUGUACACAAUGCCAUGGAAAGAAUCAAUAUGUUACCAAUUCACAGAUUCAUAAAGUUUCAUGAAUGAGGGGUGCCUUAGAGACGAUAUAAUGUCCUUUUACAGAUGAAAAUAUAGGCUCUAAAAAGUAUGACUUCUCCCCCCAAGGACCCCCCUCAAAAUGGCAAUUUGUUGGAAACCGAAGAAUACGAGGUACGUGGGGAAAAGUCUAAACUCUUCAGCAGUGAAUUCAAGGUAUGGAUAAUCUAUGCUCCUAUAUCUCUCAAGCCUCACUUCUCAUCAUCUCCACACAUACAGCCUACAUACCAGUUUCACAGAAAGCAACAUGCAUGCUCAGAAACCUGAGCCUUUGCUGAUUCUGUUCCUUCAGCCAGGAAAAAUCCCACCCCACCCCCCUUAUUUCUGCCUAUUAAAAUCUGGCUUCUGAUUCCAAUAAAAUGCCCUAUUUUCUGUGAACACGUUUCCUGUUCCUCAAUAAAAUUAUUCUGAUUAGGGGAACUUCCAAAAUUGAGAGGUAUUUUACAAAAUAGUUGACUAGGGCCUUUAAAAGAAUCAAGUUCAUGAAAGAAAAGGAAAGCAUAAGGAUCUGCCACAGAUUAUAGGAGACUCAGGGGACAAAAUAACUAAAAGCAAUAUGUGAUCCUGGAUUCAUUCCUGUUCCAGAAAAAGACCAUUAGGGUGAAAACUGGUUAAAUCCUAAAAGUCUGCAGUUUAAUUAAUAAUAUUGUACUAGCCUUGAUGUCCUGGUUUUUUAGACAUGCUCUGUGGUGAUGCGCUAUUAACAUGAGAGGAAGUCGGGCAAAGGGAACAGGGAAAUUGUAUUCUUUUGCAGCUUUUUUGUGAGUCUAAAAUUUUUAUAACUAAUUUUAUUUAUAAAUUUUCCUUUUAAAUUUAUAAUUUUCUUUUUUAAUUAAACAAUUUCUUUUUCUUUUUAGGGCCGCACCCACAGCAUAUGGAGUCUCCCAAAAGGGGUCCAAUUGGAGCCACAGCUGCCAGCCUGCACCACAUCCGAGCUGCGUCUGUGACCGACAUCACAACUCACGGCAAUGCCAGAUCCUUAACCCAAUGAGCAAGGCCAGAGAUCAAACCUACAUCCUCAUGGGUUCUAGGCAGGUUCGUUAACCAGGGAGCCACGAUGUGAAAUCCGAUUUAAACAAUUUUUUCAGAAAAAGAAAAAGGCACAUCCC